GCUCCCGAACGCUCCAGGUCGGCGCUCCAGGCCGCCGCCCCCCGGAUGCCCCCCGGCUUGCUUGGUACACCCAGGAUGUCACUUACGCCCGGCCUGGCCUCGCCCCACCCAGCGCAGAUCCCAGGGGAACUCGCAGGCGCAUCCUCCCACCUCGAGUCCUGGGCCCCGGAAGUGACGUCUCUGCGUGCGUGACGCGCGCUCGCGGCGCCGGGGGCGGGGCCUGAGGGAGGGUGGGUCGGUGUGAGGGCGGGUUGUGGACUGGCGGGGCCGGGACCCACUCGAGCGACGCGGGGCGAGCGGCGGUCUCGACGCCGGCGGAUCCGCCAACGAGCUCCCGUUUUUCAGAGAAUAAACAUCUAUAUGCACACUGAGUGGCCAGAUUAUUAUGACCGGCCAGAUUAUUAUUUCCCUGUUCUGGACGUUCAUAUGAAUGGGAUCAUAUGAUACAUGGGCUUUUAUGACUGGCUUCUUUCACUUAGCAUCAUGUUUUCAAGGUUAAUUGUGGCAUGUAUCGGUACUUAAUUCCUCUUUAUGACUGAGUAAUAACUACAUUGUAUGAUAUAUUGCAUUUUGUUUUUCCAUUCAUCAGUUGAUGGACAUUUGGGUUGUUUCCACCUUUUGGCUAUUAUAGAUAAUGCUCCUGUAAACAUUCAUGUACAACUUUCUGUGUGGACAUAAGUUUUUGUUUCGCUUGGGUAAAUACAGUACCUUGAAGUGGAAUUGCUGGGUCAUAUGGUGACUCUGUUCAAUGGUUUGAGGAACUCUCAGAUGGUUUCCAAAAGUGGCUGCACCAUUUUACAUUCCGACCUGCAGUGAAUGGGGUUCUCAUUUUUUCACAUCCUUGUUAACACUUACUAUUAUCUGACUUUGUUAUCCACUGGGUGUGAAGUGGUAGCUCAUGGUUUUGACUUACAUUUCCCUGAUGAUCAAUGAAGUCAAACAUGUUUUCUUGUGUGCUUAUUGACCAUUUGU
This is a long non-coding RNA of Myotis lucifugus (little brown bat), 972 nucleotides long. RefSeq lists it as uncharacterized. NCBI's taxonomy places the organism in Eukaryota, Metazoa, Chordata, Mammalia, Chiroptera, Vespertilionidae. The record is from RefSeq and is a predicted model, not a curated record. The transcript is spliced from 3 exons.